Molecule: ribosomal RNA, 590 nt
Filed under: uncultured Burkholderia sp.
Lineage: Bacteria; Pseudomonadati; Pseudomonadota; Betaproteobacteria; Burkholderiales; Burkholderiaceae
Description: bacterial SSU rRNA
Rfam family: Bacterial small subunit ribosomal RNA
Source: RNAcentral
UCGGGUUGUAAAGCACUUUUGUCCGGAAAGAAAACUUCUGCCCUAAUACGGCGGGAGGAUGACGGUACCGGAAGAAUAAGCACCGGCUAACUACGUGCCAGCAGCGCGGUAAUCGUAGGGUGCGAGCGUUAAUCGGAAUUACUGGGCGUAAAGCGUGCGCAGGCGGUUCGUUAAGACAGAUGUGAAAUCCCCGGGCUUAACCUGGGAACUGCAUUUGUGACUGGCGAGCUAGAGUAUGGCAGAGGGGGGUGGAAUUCCACGUGUAGCAGUGAAAUGCGUAGAGAUGUGGAGGAAUACCGAUGGCGAAGGCAGCCCCCUGGGCCAAUACUGACGCUCAUGCACGAAAGCGUGGGGAGCAAACAGGAUUAGAUACCCUGGUAGUCCACGCCCUAAACGAUGUCAACUAGUUGUUGGGUCUUCAUUGACUUAGUAACGUAGCUAACGCGUGAAGUUGACCGCCUGGGGAGUACGGUCGCAAGAUUAAAACUCAAAGGAAUUGACGGGGACCCGCACAAGCGGUGGAUGAUGUGGAUUAAUUCGAUGCAACGCGAAAAACCUUACCUACCCUUGACAUGGUCGGAACCCUGCUG